CCUACGGGAGGCUGCAGUGGGGAAUAUUGCACAAUGGGCGCAAGCCUGAUGCAGCCAUGCCGCGUGUAUGAAGAAGGCCUUCGGGUUGUAAAGUACUUUCAGCGGGGAGGAAGGGAGUAAAGUUAAUACCUUUGCUCAUUGACGUCAUCCGCAGAAGAAGCAGCGGCUAACGCCGUGCCAGCAGCCGCGGUAAUACGGAGGGUGCAAGCGUUGAUCGGAAUUACUGGGAGUAAAGGGAACGCAGGCGGUUUGUUACGUCAGCUGUGAAAUCCCCGGGCUCAACCUGGGAACUGCAGCGGAUACUGGCAAGCUUGAGUGCCGGAGAGGGAGGUAGAAUUCCAGGUGUAGCGGUGAAAUGCGUAGAGAUCAGGAGGAAUACCGGUGGCGAAGGCGGCCCCCUGGACGAAGACUGACGCUCAGGUGCGAAAGCGUGGGGAGCAAACAGGAUUAGAUAACCUGGUAGUC
Molecule: ribosomal RNA, 465 nt
Filed under: uncultured bacterium
Lineage: Bacteria
Description: partial 16S ribosomal RNA
Rfam family: Bacterial small subunit ribosomal RNA
Source: RNAcentral